UUACUGUGAUGAUACCAACAAUUUUUCUCCAGAACAUGAUGAUGGUAGAAAAACGAGCUUUUUAAAUCUGAGUGAG
Dreissena polymorpha is the source of this 76-nucleotide small nucleolar RNA. The record is from RefSeq and is a predicted model, not a curated record. NCBI's taxonomy places the organism in Eukaryota, Metazoa, Mollusca, Bivalvia, Myida, Dreissenidae.